AUUGAACGCUGGCGGCAUGCUUUACACAUGCAAGUCGAACGGCAGCACGGGCUUCGGCCUGGUGGCGAGUGGCGAACGGGUGAGUAAUAUAUCGGAACGUACCCAGAAGUGGGGGAUAACGUAGCGAAAGUUACGCUAAUACCGCAUACGAUCUAUGGAUGAAAGCAGGGGACCGCAAGGCCUUGUGCUCCUGGAGCGGCCGAUAUCUGAUUAGCUAGUUGGUGAGGUAAAGGCUCACCAAGGCGACGAUCAGUAGCUGGUCUGAGAGGACGACCAGCCACACGGGAACUGAGACACGGCCCAGACUCCUACGGGAGGCAGCAGGGGGGAAUUUUGGAAAAUGGGCGCAAGCCUGACCCAGCAAUGCCGGGGGAGGGAAGAAGGCCUUGGGUUUGUAAAGCUUUUUUGUCAGGGAAGAAACGGUAGGGGCUAAUAUCCUUUGCUAAUGACGGUACCUGAAGAAUAAGCCCCGGCUAACUACGU
RNAcentral lists this ribosomal RNA (483 nucleotides) under uncultured bacterium. RNAcentral's name for it is "partial 16S ribosomal RNA". It matches the Rfam family "Bacterial small subunit ribosomal RNA", at positions 30 to 506 of the family's 1533-position model. The record is from RNAcentral.